This 405-nucleotide small RNA is filed under the name Pan troglodytes (chimpanzee). RNAcentral's name for it is "retained intron". Lineage: Eukaryota; Metazoa; Chordata; Mammalia; Primates; Hominidae. The record is from RNAcentral.
AGCAGAGAGCUGGACACGGGGCUUGGGGCUCAGGCAGUCGGCCUCCGGGUCUCCAAGGUGAAGCAGGAAGUGGGUGGUCGGGGCCGGGUGGUGGCUGAGGGCAGGGGCCACAGCGGUGCCGCCCACAGGAUGCCCUCACCGUGGUGGUGGAUGACCUCCGCCUGUGCUCUGUGAAGCCGUGUGAGGACAUCGAGCGGAGGUUCUGCUUCGAGGUGCUGUCACCCACCAAGUGAGGAGGCCCAGCCCAGGGUGGGGUGGGGGGCGUACCUGCCCACCGGAGCUGACGCCCGCCCCUCCACUGCCUGCAGGAGCUGCAUGCUGCAGGCUGACUCCGAGAAGCUGCGGCAAGCCUGGGUCCAGGCUGUGCAGGCCAGCAUCGCCUCCGCCUACCGCGAGAGCCCUGAC